This is a long non-coding RNA of Spodoptera frugiperda (fall armyworm), 1684 nucleotides long. RefSeq lists it as uncharacterized. The transcript is spliced from 2 exons. Lineage: Eukaryota; Metazoa; Arthropoda; Insecta; Lepidoptera; Noctuidae. The record is from RefSeq and is a predicted model, not a curated record.
GUUACUAUUGAUUUUCAGAGCGCAUUUUGAAAAAAAUACAAUUUCCACACCACCUGGAGAGCCAACGAAAUAAACGGCGCGUUGAUCUUUCUUUGUCGAGUUGCGACACCACCGCCUUUUAUUUGUAUGCUAGAUGCAUAUUUCACAUAUGAUAGACACUUUCAAGCACCAUUUCCUGUACUUUGCUGUUCUUAAUGAUCCAGAAGUUGCGAUUUCUUUUUGGGCACCUCAUAACCGUUAUUUAGCCGUAAAAGAAAAGGCGUGUAAUGAGUCUGACAAAUCGCAUCGCAGAUGAUGCAGACGACAGGACAAUGCAAAAAACAUCCGAGCUUUGCGCAAGCGGAAAAUUGCUAAUUUAGGUAUUUUGUAAAAAUGUGAAACGGAACGGCGUGAUUUUAGUCAAUAGGAGUCUGACACUCCCUCUCGUCUCGCCCAAGGCGGGAGAAACCACUGGAUGAUUUUCCCCCAUUAAAAAAUGCUAUUUGUUUGUAGGCAGACAUUGUUGUUCUUCUAUUUCUAUGUGAAACUACGUGAGAUUACAACAACAUUCCAUGAUUGUGCGCCUGUUUUUGUGUGCAACGGCUACUGGAGUUCAAAUUGUUUUAUUUACUCACAGAAGACUCUAUAUUUCCACGAAGUCAAAGAGAAAUAAAACCUAGUCCAGUAUAAUAUACCAGUUCUAAGUAUUUUGAGGUACCUUUAAAAAAAUAUUGUCAUCAGUUUCAUUAUAGCCAAGCCUGGAUUUUUAAGCAUUCUCUUUUCGAAUUGCGACUAUGGUACCCUAAGCUAUAAUCAUUAUAUAUAAUGAAAAUGAGUUUUUUGUGUAUUAUAUUGAAGUAUAUAUAUUUUUCGCCCCUUGUAGACGUAAAUUCAAUUUGCACUAUAAAAUAAUGAAUAAAAUAACCACAUCCUUGCAAAUAAAUGGAGUUAGGCCAAGAAGACUUGAAAUUGAAAGUGGCAUCAUUGGUCUCGCAGUGAACAGAAAGAAAACUUAGGUGAUGAUAGUGGAUCGAGGCGGAAUACUAUCUGGAAGUCAUCGGAGAGGCCUUAGUUCAGCAGCGGACGUCUUGUGGCUGAUAUGAUAACGAUAUCUAUUUAUUGCUGUCUGAUGUCAAAACAAAUCGGAAUCUUUAAAAAGGUUUGUAGAAGCAGAAAAGUAUAUUUUUGAUUACCAACUACCUACCUAUUGACUUAAAUACUGUAGAUACAACCAUCGCGUGGUGUACAAAGAGAACCUAUCUUUCCUAAAUGAAAUCGAGUGCAAACAUGCUUUCAGGCACAUAAAAGAGAUUUCACAGUCCGUUUGUUCACUUUAGUAAUGACUAGCCUUUUAUAUACUGGGUGUGCGACUUGUGAUGUCAAAAUAAAAAGACAUAUUGAUUUGAAAUAAAUAGUCUUGGACAAGAAAUUAGUAAUCGAAUACCUAAUUGAUUAUUUUCAUUGUAUAAUAGAGUUAAAUAAAUAAAUGAUACUGGAGAAGGAGUAGGGAUAGAGUUAAGAGAUUAAAUAAAUAAAAGAUUUAAUAAAUUUAAUAAUUUUUAUUGUCAUAUGUAGGUAAUAACCUAAAUUACUAUGAAACAAAUUUUUAACUACAUUUGCUAAAAAUCAGUAUAUGCAGUUGUAUUACUCGAGCGGUUGUCACUUAGUUUUUCACUUUUUAUAUAAUGUAUCUAAUUAAAACAAA